This 450-nucleotide ribosomal RNA is filed under the name uncultured bacterium. Its description in RNAcentral is "partial 16S ribosomal RNA". It matches the Rfam family "Bacterial small subunit ribosomal RNA", at positions 339 to 795 of the family's 1533-position model. The record is from RNAcentral.
CUACGGGUGGCUGCAGUGAGGAAUAUUGCGCAAUGGGGGAAACCCUGACGCAGCAACGCCGCGUGAGUGAGGAAGGUUUUCGGACCGUAAAGCUCUGUCGAGCGGGAAGAAGUGCAUGGUGGCUAAUAUCCAUUAUGCUUGACGGUACCGCUAAAGGAAGCACCGGCUAACUCCGUGCCAGCAGCCGCGGUAAUACGGGGGGUGCUAGCGUUGUUCGGAAUCAUUGUAGGCAAAGAGCGUAGUCAGGGCUGAAAGCCCUGGGCUUAACCUAGGAAGUGCAUUUGAAACUGUUCAGCUUGAGUAAGGGAGAGGAAAGUGGAAUUCCUGGUGUAGAGGUGAAAUUCGUAGAUAUCAGGAGGAACACCGGUGGCGAAGGCGACUUUCUGGCCCUAUACUGACGCUGAGACGCGAGAGCGUGGGUAGCAAACAGGAUUAGAUACCCUUGUAGUC